ACAUAAGUGUAGUGGUCUGAGUGUCAGACUAGGACUCUGGAGACCUGGGUUCAAAUCCUAGCUCGGGCA
This is a non-coding RNA of Phrynosoma platyrhinos (Desert horned lizard), 69 nucleotides long. NCBI's taxonomy places the organism in Eukaryota, Metazoa, Chordata, Lepidosauria, Squamata, Phrynosomatidae. The record is from the annotation of a GenBank genome assembly.